UAAUAUUCUAAGCAGUUCUGUUUUACUAUUGAUAUCGAGAAUAAUUGUAAAUUUUUUUUCCCAAAUGCUUUCAAAUUUAUAUCCAUAAACAGGCCAUAGAGAGCUAGAAUAGACAGAUUUUGAGAUAUUUAUCGUUAAAUGUAAAAUAGCUGACAUUUGCGGAAGCAUUGCAGAAUUUAUUGAUUGAGCGUUAAUAAUAUUUGUAGAAGACACUAUACAACUCGAUAAUUCUUCUACUAACGUUAACUUCCUAACAGGUAUUUUUAAUUCACUCAAAACUCUGAUCAAUUGAAACAGGUUUACAUUAUCAUAUGCACCCUCAACAUCCAGAAAUACACAUAUUGCAUUAGAGUGAGCAAAGAUAGAAUUUUUGAUGUCAGCAAUGAAUGAAACGAAGCCUUCAACUGCACUUUUACCUUUUCUGAAACCUAGUUGAUAAUCAGGUGGACAAUAUACACAUAGAAUAGUUAGAGGACCGACUUUUGUAUCAACAGAAAUAGCAAUCGUUUGAACAUCUUGGAAAUUUGGAGUUGAAAGUUGGACAUAUUUUAUAGAACUUUUAAUUAAAAAGGCUACACCACCAUGUUUAUUUUCAGCAUUUUUAAAAAUAAAAUCAUACCCAGGCAUGUGAAAGUGUGACUGGGAACUUUUUAACCAUGUUUCAUUUAAUAAACAUAUAUCUAUUUCAUUAUCAAAUAAAAGUGUUUGUAACAAAGGUUUUUUAUUAUUAAUACUUUGUAUAUUAUGUUGUACUAGUUUUAAACUAUCCAUUAUUCAGAUAAGUUUUUAAUAAAAAUUUCCUUAAUAUGAGAUGUGGUCUUAAUUGAUUCAGAAUUUCCUAAUGCUACUAAUGUUUUUACUAUCGAAUUCAUGACUUUUGUAUUAUUUACAAUAUCUGAGAUAUUAAAGUUAUCUGUUUUUGUUGGUACAUGAGCUAAUUCUAUAUUUUUAUUACUGUCAACUUUUCCUGUGUAUUUCUGUAUGCUACUCUUAGGAAGAGCUGGAAAGUUUACAAAAUCUUUAUUUAUAGUAGCCAUUGCAUAAGAUUGCCUAUGUUUUAAUAUUCUAGCUGCUUUUAUUGGACAAUCUUUUGAAAUAGCUAGAUGAUUUCCAGAGCAAUUAGUACACUUUAACGUUUCAGAAAUACAAUCUUUAUAUGAAUGAUUUUCAGAGCAUUUAGAACAAA
RNAcentral lists this unclassified non-coding RNA (1186 nucleotides) under Melitaea cinxia (Glanville fritillary). RNAcentral describes it as "misc RNA ENSMCXG00005010137.1". The record is from RNAcentral. Lineage: Eukaryota; Metazoa; Arthropoda; Insecta; Lepidoptera; Nymphalidae.